GACAGAGGUGCCGAGCGUUAGGCGGAAUCACUGGGCUUAAAGCGUGUGUAGGCGGGCCGUUAAGUGUCUUGUGAAAUCCCCCGGCUCAACCGGGGAAUUGCUAGGCAUACUGGCGGUCUUGAGCAAUCUAGGGGCAGAUGGAACAAGUGGUGGAGCGGUGAAAUGCGUAGAUAUCACUUGGAACGCCAAAGGUGAAGACAGUCUGCUGGGGAUUUGCUGACGCUGAGACACGAAAGCCAGGGGAGCGAACGGG
Molecule: ribosomal RNA, 253 nt
Filed under: uncultured bacterium
Lineage: Bacteria
Description: partial 16S ribosomal RNA
Rfam family: Bacterial small subunit ribosomal RNA
Source: RNAcentral